GCUAAUCCAACGAGGACGUAGAGCUUUUGUGAAACAAGAAGUGCGACGUAUUAAGCAAAGUAUCAUAGGGGGUGAUCGUGAUUUUUGGAUCAGCUACUGACCUACAGGUACUACUGAAAUUGAUAUAUAUAAAAAUUAAACAAAAUUAGUUUGAAUGAGAGAGACUGAAAGAAUAGAGAGAAAGUAGCGAAAGAGAGAGAAAGUAGAUCUCCGGCGAUCGGCCGGCGCGUGAGCGUGCGUGCCGUCGCCGGAGACCGUCAUCCUUCAGAUAAAAGUCCCCGUUUGUGUUUCACUUUCGUUUCUGACGGCUUCCGCCUUGUUUGAGCUCUGGUCAGUCACCCUUGGUGGUGGUUCUGUCACUGGUGUGAAGACGCGGAGGUCUGAAGGGAGGAGAGGUGAAGCGGUUUGUGUUUUCGGUCCCGGGAGGUGGAGGCUCAGUUAGUUCCGCCGACGCCGGUUUCAGUCGCUGAGAGGCGGAAGUUACUAUAACUUCGCCGUCGUCAGUUCAAGUUCCCGGGAGGUUAAGGCUCCGUCAGUCUUACUUCGUCGGCUUCUGUGUCUCGAAGGGGUUUGGUUGCUCGAGUAUGGGCUCUGGUCAUGGAGCGGAAGAGGUUUCAUCGGGUUGUGAAUUUUAGGGUUGUAGAUUCGCCGUCGGUGGAGCUCUCCAUAGCGGGAUGAUGCUCUCCGACAGGUUCUCAGUGUGGUGAAGAAGAGAUGUGGUUUCGGUGGAGGCUCGAAGGGAUUCAGAGCUCCGGCGAACCGAGAUUUUCAGUGGUUGGGUACGGCGGCUUGGGAAGGCGGUGACGGUCGGGUCGAGGCGGAGCGACGCGUGGCGCACUGACGGUCAAGAUCUUCACACGUGGCGCGCUUCAGCUUCCUCGACGCCCGCGUUCCCAGAGUCAGUCGGUGAUGGGUUCGAGUAGGUGGGCUUGGGCCGGGGUUGCCAAUUUGGGCUUAGGGUUUGGUGUGUUUUGUUUGGUUGGCCGAUUAGUAGUAAUGUGGGCCUUUGUAUGUGGGCUUCGGCCAUUGGGCUUGGCCCGUAUCUUUUAAUAAAAUUAAAACUUGGUGGAAAAAAAAAAAAGAGAGAGAC
Molecule: long non-coding RNA, 1090 nt
Filed under: Brassica napus (rape)
Lineage: Eukaryota; Viridiplantae; Streptophyta; Magnoliopsida; Brassicales; Brassicaceae
Description: long non-coding RNA (BNAP_LNC001466)
Source: RNAcentral